CGUUCGGCCACGGGCUCACGGCGGUCUCGGCCGCGCUCCGGCUGCGGCUGCUGACCCCGGUCUGGCGGGUGAGCUCGGUGUUCGCGUUGAUCGU
RNAcentral lists this transfer RNA (94 nucleotides) under Enhygromyxa salina. RNAcentral describes it as "tRNA-Arg". Lineage: Bacteria; Pseudomonadati; Myxococcota; Nannocystales; Nannocystaceae. The record is from RNAcentral.